RNAcentral lists this ribosomal RNA (393 nucleotides) under Triticum aestivum (bread wheat). RNAcentral describes it as "partial small subunit ribosomal RNA". The record is from RNAcentral. Lineage: Eukaryota; Viridiplantae; Streptophyta; Magnoliopsida; Poales; Poaceae.
AUGCCCAUUGGUGUUCCAAAAGUACCUUACCGGAUUCCCGGAGAUGAAGAAGCGACUUGGGUUGACUUAUACAAUGUUAUGUAUCGAGAAAGGACACUUUUUUUAGUUCACUGCCCUAUACAUAGAAAGAAGUGCUUUUCCACCGGUAUCAACAUUCUAUCUAGAAUCAGUAGCGAUAAUUGUUGUAUUGUGAGCCAGCCCCAUAAGACACUACGCACCUCCAAAUUCUAUAUGAUUUUUCCAAUCAUUUCAUUUAUACGACCUGCAAAUAAGAUAAGAUCUUGGCUCGCCCUACAAAAAACAACUAUAUGCCCUAUAAACUUGCUUGCUUCUUCGAAUCUCGAAAUAACAUAUAGAAAGUGUUUCUGUGAUGAGACCAUUCUCGAUCGAUAA